GAUGAACGCUGGCGGCGUGCUUAACACAUGCAAGUCGAGCGAACAGACGAGGAGCUUGCUCCUUUGACGUUAGCGGCGGACGGGUGAGUAACACGUAGGUAACCUACCUAUAAGACUGGGAUAACUUCGGGAAACCGGAGCUAAUACCGGAGAAUAUUUCGAACAGCAUGGUUCGAUAGUGAAAGAUGGCUUUGCUAUCACUUAUAGACGGACCUGCGCCGUAUUAGCUAGUUGGUAAGGUAACGGCUUACCAAGGCAACGAUACGUAGCCGACCUGAGAGGGUGAUCGGCCACACUGGAACUGAGACACGGUCCAGACUCCUACGGGAGGCAGCAGUAGGGAAUCUUCCGCAAUGGGCGCAAGCCUGACGGAGCAACGCCGCGUGAGUGAUGAAGGUCUUCGGAUCGUAAAACUCUGUUAUUAGGGAAGAACAAACGUGUAAGUAACUGUGCACGUCUUGACGGUACCUAAUCAGAAAGCCACGGCUAACUACGUGCCAGCAGCCGCGGUAA
Molecule: ribosomal RNA, 513 nt
Filed under: uncultured bacterium
Lineage: Bacteria
Description: partial 16S ribosomal RNA
Rfam family: Bacterial small subunit ribosomal RNA
Source: RNAcentral